RNAcentral lists this unclassified non-coding RNA (368 nucleotides) under soil metagenome. Its description in RNAcentral is "partial contains 5.8S ribosomal RNA, internal transcribed spacer 2, and large subunit ribosomal RNA". The stretch from base 1 to 120 matches the Rfam family "5.8S ribosomal RNA", at positions 35 to 154 of the family's 154-position model. The record is from RNAcentral.
GAUGAAGAACGUAGCGAAAUGCGAUAAGUAAUGUGAAUUGCAGAAUUCAGUGAACCAUCGAAUCUUUGAACGCACAUUGCGCCCGGCAGUAAUCUGCCGGGCAUGCCUGUCCGAGCGUCAUUUCUGCCCUCGAGCGAGUCCAGCAUCUAGGUGCUGGGCCCGCCCGGCGUUGGGGCACUACGGGAAGCCCUGUGCUGUCCCCCGUAGGCCCCGAAAUGAAGUGGCGGUCCUGCCGCGGCGCCCCCUGCGUAGUAUAACAGCUCGCUUCGGGACCCGGUGGAGGCCUGCCGUCAAACCUUACUCUCUAAGUUUGACCUCGGAUCAGGUAGGGUUACCCGCUGAACUUAAGCAUAUCAAUAAGCGGACGA